UACGGAGGGGGCAAGCGUUAUUCGGAAUUAUUGGGCGUAAAGGGCGCGUAGGCGGCUAGAUGUGUCAAAGGUGAAAUCCCUCGGCUCAACUGAGGAACUGCCUUUGAAACUGUCUGGCUUGAGGCCGGGAGAGGGUAGCGGAAUUCCCAGUGUAGCGGUGAAAUGCGUAGAUAUUGGGAAGAACACCAGCGGCGAAAGCGCGCUACUGGGCCAUUACUGACACUCAUGGACGAAAGCUAGGGGAGCGAAAGGG
This 253-nucleotide ribosomal RNA is filed under the name uncultured bacterium. RNAcentral's name for it is "partial 16S ribosomal RNA". It matches the Rfam family "Bacterial small subunit ribosomal RNA", at positions 524 to 776 of the family's 1533-position model. The record is from RNAcentral.